CUCGAGCGUGCCAGCGGAUCCCCUGUUCCAUGAUGAUCACACGGACACCAACGCGGUCACCGGUUUCUCACUCCGAUCAACGAAAUAUCAAUGGCGGCUCGGGGGGCGGAGGUGGGCCAGGAAUGGGGCCUUGUAGCAGCUUGGCGGCAGCUGGGAACCCGGUCAGGUCGAAGCCAGGAGGUGGGACUAUGCCAGCCGCGGUGGCUGUGCUUUGGAGAUAUGCUACCAACCUGCAAGUAGUGUAAGAGUUUGUUUUAUGAACACGCUCAAAGAGAUCGAUGAUGAUGUUGUUCCUUCUUACUUUGAAUUUCUUAUGUUACCUAUAUUAUACUUUCUUUUAAUAAGGG
Helicoverpa zea (corn earworm) is the source of this 347-nucleotide long non-coding RNA. RefSeq lists it as uncharacterized. NCBI's taxonomy places the organism in Eukaryota, Metazoa, Arthropoda, Insecta, Lepidoptera, Noctuidae. The transcript is spliced from 2 exons. The record is from RefSeq and is a predicted model, not a curated record.